Molecule: ribosomal RNA, 562 nt
Filed under: uncultured bacterium
Lineage: Bacteria
Description: bacterial SSU rRNA
Rfam family: Bacterial small subunit ribosomal RNA
Source: RNAcentral
UCUACCUCCGAAUUGGGGAUAACAUUGCGAAAGCGGUGCUAAUACCGAAUGACAUCCCCGGGACUCCGGUCUUGGGAAUCAAAGGUGGCCUCUACAUGUAAGCUACCGUUUGGAGAUGAGCCCGCGUACCAUUAGCUUGUUGGUAGGGUAACGGCCUACCAAGGCUUCGAUGGUUAGCUGGUCUGAGAGGAUGAUCAGCCACACUGGAACUGACACACGGUCCAGACUCCUACGGGAGGCAGCAGUGAGGAAUUUUGCGCAAUGGGGGAAACCCUGACGCAGCAACGCCGCGUGAGUGAUGAAGGCUUUCGGGUCGUAAAGCUCUGUCAAGUGGGAAGAACCUGCUUCGUGCUAAUAUCACGGGGCACUGACGGUACCACUGAAGGAAGCACCGGCUAACUCCGUGCCAGCAGCCGCGGUAAUACGGGGGGUGCUAGCGUUAUUCGGAAUCAUUGGGCGUAAGGGCGCGUAGGCGGUCGCUUAAGUCAGAUGUGAAAGCCCUCGGCUUAACCGAGGAAGUGCAUUUGAUACUAAGUGACUUGAGUAUGGGAGAGGAAGCGGA